RNAcentral lists this ribosomal RNA (301 nucleotides) under uncultured bacterium. Its description in RNAcentral is "partial 16S ribosomal RNA". It matches the Rfam family "Bacterial small subunit ribosomal RNA", at positions 509 to 807 of the family's 1533-position model. The record is from RNAcentral.
CAGCAGCCACGGGAACACGGAGGGUGCAAGCGUUAAUCGGAAUUACUGGGCGUAAAGCGCACGCAGGCGGUCUGACAAGUCAGAUGUGAAAUCCCCGGGCUUAACCUGGGAACUGCAUUUGAAACUGUCAGGCUGGAGUCUUGUAGAGGGGGGUGGAAUUCCAGGUGUAGCGGUGAAAUGCGUAGAGAUCUGGAGGAAUACCGGUGGCGAAGGCGGCCCCCUGGACAAAGACUGACGCUCAGGUGCGAAAGCGUGGGGAGCAAACAGGAUUAGAUACCCGAGUAGUCCCUGUCUCUUAUAC